Molecule: long non-coding RNA, 1968 nt
Filed under: Homo sapiens (human)
Lineage: Eukaryota; Metazoa; Chordata; Mammalia; Primates; Hominidae
Description: non-protein coding LINC02519:30
Source: RNAcentral
CUAAGAAAGCUGUUUGAUUUAACCCGUGGUUUCCCAAAUACUUUAGACCACUAAUUAAUUUUGUUUUCUGAAACAUUCGUUAAUAUGUUCACAGAAAAUUGUGGCAUUCACUUUGGAAAAUAUAUCUGUUUAAGAACAGAUAAUGAAUACAUAACAAAUUUAGAACUGUGUUAAGAUUCCAUAACUAAAACCACUCUAAACUUUCUGAAAUGGCUGAAAACGUUUCCCUAACUUUUCUGAAAGUACUUGCUGGGCUUCUUGGAGACUGAAUCAUCCCUUUUGAGCCCACUUAGGGGAAAGUUCAAAAGACCUCAGAGAAGACAAAAAGCAGGGCAAGAGAGACGGCCCAGUCUUCUAGCUCUCCACUGGAGAAAAUGCAUGUGGGAAAGGCUGGGGGUUUCCAUCCUCAAUAUUUAGUAAAAGAUAAAGUAAAAAUUACAACUGCCUUCUGAAUGGCUCCCCUCCCCUGACUUCAUGGGAGUGAUGACUCAGCCCUCUGUUUUGUAACUGCGGAGAUUGAAAGUGGAGACGGGACCUUUGGCAUUUCAGAAAAUGUCGACGCCGCUUUCUUCUGCUUUCUCCGGGACCCCUCUGGGGCCUCGCCUCCUCCCCUCCCGCUGAAAGCCUGCUGUGAAAGGAGCAAGGAUGUGAAAAAGAUGUACGACUCUUUGCUUCCUUAUGCUCGGCCCAAGUUUAUCAAAAGCUGUGGAGUUUGCUAAAAUAAUCCAGGGAAUUCGCCUGGAAAUGGUUUUUUUUUUUUUUUUUGGUUGUUGUUUGUCUUCACUUGUUCCAAAGAAGCAAAAUAAGACAGGGGCUGCCCCUUGUCCUGUCUCAUUCAUUUUUGACACCCUUGUUUCUCCACACAGGCCCUGGGGUGAAGGGCACAGGUGGGAUUCAGAAUAGAAAUGACUCGAGGGACGCAAGGAGUUGGGAUCAGAAGAAGCAGCAGAAACUCCUGCUCUGCAGACACAGCAGACAUUACUGGGAAAGACACCAGAGACCCAGGAGUUCACCCAAGUCCUCUGCACACUGUCUUCCCAGCCCUCUCUCCUGGAUCUGAGAUGAUUUCACUUAAAAACACAAGCCUUUGCUUAAAGAGCGCAGGUAGCCACUUGCUCUCCCAGAGAGUGCUGCAGCGGUGAUGAUCGGUUUCCCCCCUCCCCACCUGCUCAGUCCUGCAAAGCCUGGACUCUGCUCCAAGGCCUUUGGGACCCAACACCUGCUUUCCAGCCUCAGGGCCUCAGGCCUGAGACCACAGGGGCUCUUCCCGGCGGCUGUACCUCCUGCCAUUCACCUGCUGAUUUCUUCCUCAUCUGUUUAUUCCUCUGAUCCAACAAGGUCAGGAUGGUAUGCAACCGCCACCCCCCCCCCACUGCCCCCACCACCACAGCACUGCCACGACCCUUGUCUGGGACGGAUGAUGUGGGGCUGCACUUCCUCUGUCGGCCCCCUGCCCUCGUCAGGAGGCCCAGCAUGUAGCAGGCAAGCAGCAGGCAGCAGGCAGGUGCUGAGUGGGUGUGGAAGGUGUGGCCCCUCACACCUCUGUGUCCUAUGCUCAGCGCUGUGCUUGGGCAUGGCGAGGCCUCAGCAGAUACUGUGCAGCACAGUGACACCAAUGGAACCCAGUAAAAAGACAGUUUCCAAUUUUCCUCGCUGCUGGGGCCCACCCAGAUCCUGGAGCAGAGCAUGGCCUGCAGGAAGCACAGGCUGGUGGACUGUGGCUGUGUCACGGCGAGCUUCCAGUGGCUCUCGCAGAACUCAAUUGGCACGGUAAAGGGACAAAUGAAGUUUCCAGCUUUUUUCUUUUAAUAGCUCAGAUAUCAAUUUUAUAGCUCUGAUGGACAUAAUUUAUAAAAUAAGUCUAUAUCUUACUGUAAAUUUGAGACGGUUAACCUUUAAUAAAGUUAAUAAGGGGCUUGUCAAAACUCCUGAGCUGAACUUUGCUUGCUCGUUACAUAAUAACAACGA